GCCGCGGUAGUAUAGACCGGUCAUGCAAGUUCGUCCUGCGCUGAAAGUAUGCGGGCCUUUCGAGCCCGUGACCCGGGUUCAAAUCCCGGCCGCGGCA
Molecule: transfer RNA, 97 nt
Filed under: Sulfuracidifex tepidarius
Lineage: Archaea; Thermoproteati; Thermoproteota; Thermoprotei; Sulfolobales; Sulfolobaceae
Description: tRNA-Glu
Rfam family: tRNA
About the family: Transfer RNA (tRNA) molecules are approximately 80 nucleotides in length.
Source: RNAcentral